Molecule: ribosomal RNA, 470 nt
Filed under: uncultured bacterium
Lineage: Bacteria
Description: bacterial SSU rRNA
Rfam family: Bacterial small subunit ribosomal RNA
Source: RNAcentral
UGGCGGAAUGCUUUACACAUGCAAGUCGAACGGUAGAGGGGGCAACCCUUGAGAGUGGCGAACGGGUGAGUAAUAUAUCGGAACGUGCCCAGUCGUGGGGGAUAACGUAGCGAAAGUUACGCUAAUACCGCAUACGAUCUAAGGAUGAAAGCGGGGGAUCGCAAGACCUCGCGCGAUUGGAGCGGCCGAUAUCAGAUUAGGUAGUUGGUGAGGUAAAGGCUCACCAAGCCGACGAUCUGUAGCUGGUCUGAGAGGACGACCAGCCACACUGGGACUGAGACACGGCCCAGACUCCUACGGGAGGCAGCAGUGGGGAAUUUUGGACAAUGGGCGCAAGCCUGAUCCAGCAAUGCCGCGUGCAGGAUGAAGGCCUUCGGGUUGUAAACUGCUUUUGUACGGAACGAAACGGUGAGCUCUAAUACAGUUUGCUAAUGACGGUACCGUAAGAAUAAGCACCGGCUAACUACGUG